Molecule: ribosomal RNA, 583 nt
Filed under: Glauconema sp. JLi-2020a
Lineage: Eukaryota; Ciliophora; Oligohymenophorea; Philasterida; Glauconematidae
Description: partial large subunit ribosomal RNA
Rfam family: Eukaryotic large subunit ribosomal RNA
Source: RNAcentral
AGCGGAGGAAAAGAAACUAACUAGGAUUGCCCCAGUAGCGGCGAGUGAACAGGCAAAAGCUCAAAGUGAAAAUCCAAGGCACGAAGUUUUGGAAUUGUAAUCUAGAGAUUCGUUCGGAGGGGAUUGGGCGUGGCAUAAGUUCCUUGGAACAGGGCGUCAUAGAGGGUGAUAACCCCGUAGUCAGCUACGUCACGGAACCAACGAGCGUUUUCGAAGAGUCGGGUUGUUUGGGAUUGCAGCCCUAAAUGGGAGAUAAACUUCUUCUAAAGCUAAAUAUUUAUGGGAAACCGAUAGCGAACAAGUACUGCGAAGGAAAGAUGAAAAGAACUUUGAAAAGAGGGUUAAAAGACUUGAAAUCGUUGAGAAGAAAGUGGUAGAAGAGUAAUCAUUUGUGUACGAUAUCCGGAUGUGCUUGCCGGUUUUGUAGUGGUUUAGUACUUCAUAGGCUGUCCAUUGCAAACGCUUCGGCUCGUUAUUUGGUAUUCGUAUGCAAGAGGCAAAAUGAGGUUUGUUUCCAGGAGUCGUCUGUUUAGAAGACCCUCGUCUUCGGAUGGGGAGCUAGAUAGAAAAACUGGAGAUGAGC